RNAcentral lists this transfer RNA (70 nucleotides) under Microtermes sp. E16. RNAcentral describes it as "tRNA-Ser". Lineage: Eukaryota; Metazoa; Arthropoda; Insecta; Blattodea; Termitidae. The record is from RNAcentral.
AGUUAAAAAGCUAAGAAAUGCCUGAUGUCUUGAAAACAUCACGAGAGAAGUUCAAGUCUUCUAUUAACUU